This 434-nucleotide ribosomal RNA is filed under the name uncultured Lachnospiraceae bacterium. Its description in RNAcentral is "partial 16S ribosomal RNA". It matches the Rfam family "Bacterial small subunit ribosomal RNA", at positions 341 to 792 of the family's 1533-position model. The record is from RNAcentral. Lineage: Bacteria; Bacillati; Bacillota; Clostridia; Lachnospirales; Lachnospiraceae.
ACGGGAGGCAGCAGUGGGGAAUAUUGGACAAUGGGGGAAACCCUGAUCCAGCGACGCCGCGUGAGUGAAGAAGUAUUUCGGUAUGUAAAGCUCUAUCAGCAAGGAAGAAAAUGACGGUACUUGACUAAGAAGCUCCGGCUAAAUACGUGCCAGCAGCCGCGGUAAUACGUAUGGAGCAAGCGUUAUCCGGAUUUACUGGGUGUAAAGGGAGCGUAGACGGUUCUGCAAGUCUGAUGUGAAAGGCAGGGGCUCAACUCCUGGACUGCAUUGGAAACUGUAGAACUAGAGUGCCGGAGAGGUAAGCGGAAUUCCUAGUGUAGCGGUGAAAUGCGUAGAUAUUAGGAGGAACACCAGUGGCGAAGGCGGCUUACUGGACGGUAACUGACGUUGAGGCUCGAAAGCGUGGGGAGCAAACAGGAUUAGAUACCCUGGUA